UUUAUAUGACAUCACAACCCCUCCUUUGGGAGCAGAGUUAUGAGCAUAAAUAUGCAAUCUCUUUGUUAGAGAUUAAUUUAAACUUUCUGUAGGUCGUGAUAAUCUCAAAUUUCCCAUAUGAAGAAAAUUGUCAGCUUUGGCCAGGCAAAUUUCUCCAAACGAGUUAUAAGAAAAUUACCAUCGUACACCACCCAUGUACCUUCAUGUCUAGACCUCCUUUGGGAGGAGACUAAACAUAAUAUUAGGGUGCAAUUUCUGCAUGCACAUCUUUAAAGCAAUUAAUUUAUCCUU
Molecule: long non-coding RNA, 291 nt
Filed under: Ananas comosus (pineapple)
Lineage: Eukaryota; Viridiplantae; Streptophyta; Magnoliopsida; Poales; Bromeliaceae
Description: long non-coding RNA (ACOM_LNC041289)
Source: RNAcentral